Loxodonta africana (African savanna elephant) is the source of this 107-nucleotide small nuclear RNA. The record is from Ensembl. NCBI's taxonomy places the organism in Eukaryota, Metazoa, Chordata, Mammalia, Proboscidea, Elephantidae.
GUGCUCCCUUUGGCAGCACGUAGACUAAAACUGAAACAAUACAGAGAAGCUUUGCAUCGCCCCUAUGCAAAGAUGACACACAAAUUCCUGAAGCAUUCCAUAUUUUU